CUGACUUCUGGGUCAGAGGUCAUGAGCUCUGAGGUUCCUCAGGUGUUGCCUGGAUAAAAAUGCCCUUUUACCUGCCUAUAAAAAACUGUACGGUUUUCAUUUUGAAAAUUCCAUGAUCUGUAAGAACAGAAAUUUCACAUAGGACAAACUUUUCUAGAGAAUAGAGAAGUGCGUAUUUCCCAACCCAUCUUUGAGGCCAGCACAACGGUGACACUGAAAUCAGACAAGGACUGUAUAACAAAAGAAAAUUAUAAGACAACAUCACUCAUUUAUCUGCAUAAAAAAUGCCAGGUGUUCAUGGGUGUCUCAGGCUGGUCCAUCAGAUAGAUGUGCCUGAAAUCUUUGCUCUGAAGAGAUGUGCCACGGUGGUGGGAAAAGAAAUCCAAGCAAGCACCAGUGGAGUAUUCCAGGCUGUCAGAGGUCGCUGAGGUAGAAAGAAUGAACAUGAUGCCCUGUGCCUCUCUACAUCAAAGAAACUAAGACCCAGAGGAAGAAAACAUCUUGGCCAAGGAUCCAGUCAUUGGCGAAACUGAUACUCCUAUCCAUUUACAUAGAAUACUGCCCCAGAGAAACAGGCAGCAGCCAUCAGCAUUGAGACAAAGCCGUCCGUAAGCAAAAAGAUUACAACUCGUUGGAAGCUCAGAUGAUUAGUAUUUUUUAGCAGUAUUUUAAAAUUAAGCGCAACGACGUGAUGAGCUCCAUAACGUCUUAGGUCUUGCAUGGCCCUCUACGUGGCAGCUGAUUUUCACUCUUGCUUCUCUGACAUUCUCCUGGGAAGGCCACUAGCCACUCAGCCUGCACUUCACAUCACCCUGAAGCUGUUCCAUGAGGCUUUGCAGCAGCCGAGGCACUGUCACCUGCGUACCCUGUUUAGUUUUGUCAGAGUUGAACCACAAGAAUAUACAAUAAUGGGAGAGAGACCAAAGAGUUCAACCUUAUUCAGACUGAGCAAAGCACCUUCUGGGAAGCUGGUUCACUGGCUAAGAAUACUCUGUGUCCUACACAUGAUACUCUAUGUACUGUACUCAUUGUACAUAAGGAAACAGGUUUUUUGUAGGUCAAAAAGGUUGAAUGGUGGUAAUUUCAUAUGCUUCACCGUAUAAUCAUACUCUGACUUGCUAUAAUGGAUUUGUAGAGUCUCUAUUUUUAAUAAAAAUAUUUCUGUGCUAUAUAGGGCAGUGCUCAACAA
Molecule: long non-coding RNA, 1189 nt
Organism: Prionailurus viverrinus (fishing cat)
Lineage: Eukaryota; Metazoa; Chordata; Mammalia; Carnivora; Felidae
Exons: 5
Source: RefSeq, a predicted model, not a curated record